UGCAUGUGUGCGUGUGUGUGUGUGCGCACAUGUGUGUGUGUGCGCACGUGUGUGGCUGCUGUCCAUUACUUUGACAUACAUGUCAGUUUACGCAGCCAUUGAACAAAUCUGUCAAAAAAACAUAAGAGUCCAGUUACAUGGGAGCUUUGGCAGUAAUCCAUCAUAUUUACCAGAUCACCCUCUCAUUACUAACAGAAAUUAUAAAUAUAUUUGAAUAGAUACAUGAAUGUCCUCUAUAUUUUUAUCUCAAUUAGUCUUUGUGUCCUUACCUCUUCCUCAGACUGAUUUUCUUUUUGAUAGCCUGUUUUUCAUUUUCCGCAACUGGCUCAUUUGUCUCAGGCUAGAAAUACAAGAGAAACACACAGAGUUAACGCAGAGCUGUAGCAGGUUGCAGUGGCAAUCCACUCUGGGGUGAGGCAAUACAAAACUGAUUCAAGACCAGCGUCACCACAAUCCAUAGCAACCUGUCUAUCCUUUAUGUUUCUCACAUGUUGGGAAACAGCAAUUUCCCGAAGGCGCUUCCCGCCCUUCUGGCUGGUGUCGGUGAUGGGAGGCAGAAUGGUGACGCCCACAAUGCCACAAUAUGGGUGUGGUUAGGAUGAAGCAGAAGGCGGGGCAUAUCCUGUCUGGAGGUGGCCCUCACAGCGGGGAGCGUGGCCUGUAGAGGUUCCUCAGGGGGCGGGUACGCCAAGGUCUGGCCAGGCAGAAGAAAAUCCACCUUCCCUGGGCUCUGUGCUGCCUGAAAGAACAAAUAGCAGUGUUAUAAACCAGUUUGUUUGAGUUUUGAAUGCGGAUUGGCUCAAAGCUGUGUGUGAGACUGCAUAUCACAUGAAUAAGGGCUCUAUCUAGGCUCUAUCAUGCCUAAGAACCACCUAGGCUGUGGUACAUUGGUUACAUAUCACAUACACUAAAGGGGAAUUGUUGUUUAAUAUAGAACCGCUAUAACACUUUGGACAUCAGGACAGUGUUAUUGUACAUCAUUCCAACUCCAUAAUGAUAAUACAUUUUAACAAUUAUACAACACAUUAAAGCACCCAUGUCAGUUUGCCGACUGAGGCAGGAAGGGUGUGGUUGGGAUGAAGUUGGGCUGCCAAAAGGACCUGGAGAAAAACGGAAUUAAACGUACUGAGGUGUUGAGACAGGGCAUGUCUGAUAAAGGCCACAUCCACACAAACACAUCUAGACACACAUCUAGAAACACACUAACACAUCUAGAUACACACAUCUAGACAAACCCUAACACGUCUAGACAGAUCUCAAGACUUGUAAAAGGAUGUAGACAGACGUGUGCACUCAGGAGCACUAUAUAAUAUACUGCCAAAUCAUUUAAUUUCUAUAUCAAUCAAAUACCAAAAAACACAUCAUUAAGUCCAAAGAUGGAUCUAUAUGCUGUCUCAGUACCUCAAAUGUACAUAACCUAUUUGAAAUGUAGUUCAAAUAAUUCAUCAAUAAAUAAUUUUUAGAAGACUUUAAAGACGGAUAACAAUUUCAAAUGAGGGUAGUCUUUUUGUUAACCUUGGAAUGAUAACACACUGAAAAUCAUCAAUUCCUGUAUGCUGAUCAAACCAUUCCUCAAGAUCAAACUUAGAGAUUGAGAGAGCUAUCACUUCCAGGUAACACAUGUCCUAAAACAUUACACACAACUCUCAAUGUGUCAGCACAACUGUCAUUGAGAAAACAUCUGUGCCAUUUGUGCGAAGACAAACACUGAGCGUCUUCAGAACCCAUCACUGGUAGAAAUCUCCAUAGAUAUUAUAACAGAAUAAGUACAUAGACAUGGAAGAUGGUACAAUUCUCUUACCUCAGGGUCACAGUCAAAUGACUUGAGAGAGAUGUCUUCAGCUGUUCUAGAAGAACAGAUUGCUCCACGUGAUCUCACCCAACUUGGUCUCGCCCAACGUGGUCUUGCCCCACGUGGUCUCUCUCUCACCUGAGGUACCUUCCCACAUUGAGGACAUAGACAGAGACAUGUACUCAGGGUCACUGUAAAAUAUGGUGACAUUGGUGAGGGUGUGGUUAGUGACCCUCCAUUUGUAUUGAACACAUAACUAGAGGAUGGUUUGGUUAAAUGCAAAGAUGGAUAUAUGUGGUGUCUUAGUACCUGGCAGGUAGUAUCUGGUGUAUUCAGCUGUGAGAAAAAACAGAAAACAUUCAGCACUCAUGUGUUAAUACUAAUACAUGGUGUAUUUGAAAUGUAGUUCAAAUAAUGUAUUGAUAAACUUUUGGGAUUGAGAGAGCUAUCGCUUCCAGUUCACACAUCGUAAAACUUUACACACAACUCUCAAUGUGUCAGCACAACUGUCAUUGACAAAAUAUCUGUGCCAUUUGUGUGAAGACAAACACUGUAAGCGUCUUCAGAACCCAUCACUGGUAGAAAUCUCCAUAGAUAUUAGAACGGAAUAAGUACAAAGACAUGGAAGAUGGUACAACUAUCUUACCUCAGGGUCACAGUCAAAUGAAUUGAGAGAGAUGUCUUCAGUUGUUCCAGAAGAAUAGACUGCCCCACAUGGUCUCUCUCUUACCUGAGGUACCUUCCCACAUUGAGGACAUAGACAGAGACAUGUACUCAGGGUCAUCGUAAAAUAUGGUGACAUUGCUGAGGGUGUGGUUAGUGACCCUCCAUUUGUAUUGAACACAUAACUAGAGGAUGGUUUGGUUAAAUGCAAAGAUGGAUAUAUGUGGUGUCUUAGUACCUGGCAGGUAGUAUCUGGUGUAUUCAGCUGUGAGAAAAAACAGAAAACAUUCAGCACUCAUGUGUUAAUACUAAUACAUGGUGUAUUUGAAAUGUAGUUCAAAUAAUGUAUUGAUAAACUUUUGGGAUUGAGAGAGCUAUCGCUUCCAGUUCACACAUCGUAAAACUUUACACACAACUCUCAAUGUGUCAGCACAACUGUCAUUGACAAAAUAUCUGUGCCAUUUGUGUGAAGACAAACACUGUAAGCGUCUUCAGAACCCAUCACUGGUAGAAAUCUCCAUAGAUAUUAGAACGGAAUAAGUACAAAGACAUGGAAGAUGGUACAACUAUCUUACCUCAGGGUCACAGUCAAAUGAAUUGAGAGAGAUGUCUUCAGUUGUUCCAGAAGAAUAGACUGCCCCACAUGGUCUCUCUUACCUGAGGUACCUUCCCACAUUGAGGACAUAGACAGAGACAUGUACUCAGGGUCAUCGUAAAAUAUGGUGACAUUGCUGAGGGUGUGGUUAGUGACCCUCCAUUUGUAUUGAACACAUAACUAGAGGACGGUUUGGUUAAAUGAAAAGAUAGAUAUAUGUGGUGUAUUAGUACCUGGCAGGUAGUAUCUGGUGUAUUCAGCUGUGAGAAAAAAACAUAAAACAUUCAGCACUCAUUUGCUAAUAAAUAUACAUGAUGUAUUUGAAAUGUAGUUCAAAUAAUGUAGUGAUAAAACAUUAGGGAUUGAUUGUGAUUACAGGUCCUACUUGAAUCUUCUUCCAAGAAGCCUGUGAAGACAGAUCAUUUCAAAUUAGGAAUCUGGCCAAUGACAACUGUGUGCGCCUCUCACCGGUCAAGCUUGAAAAUACGUCUGUUUGAGUGGAUAUGCUGCUGCUGGGCUAUUCGGUCAGUGCACUAGACUUACACAACACAAUUCAUGAGACAUGCUCAUCAAGGCAAGGUGAUGAUUGUCAGAGGGGAAAUCUCCUGCCACAAGAUCUUCAAAUGAGAAGUCUCCUGCCACAAGAUCUUCAAAUGAGAAGUCUCCUGCCACAAGAUCUUCAAAGGCAUUACACCAGGGAUGGAUCCAGCUGAUUACUGGCAAUUUGGAGGAUUGUUCUUUAUCUGCUACAUUGCACUGUCACUUCUGGUACAGAUUAAUUGACCUUGUUAUGUUUUGAUUUUACUUUAUUUGUAAUUAAGUCUCCAAUUGCACUUUAAUUGACACAGUGAAACUCUUGUAGAUGUAUCCAUUUCCUAUGAUUUUUCUGUAUGUUUUCAGUUGAGGAUA
This is a long non-coding RNA of Esox lucius (northern pike), 3959 nucleotides long. RefSeq lists it as uncharacterized. Lineage: Eukaryota; Metazoa; Chordata; Actinopteri; Esociformes; Esocidae. The transcript has 5 exons. The record is from RefSeq and is a predicted model, not a curated record.